Molecule: unclassified non-coding RNA, 1840 nt
Filed under: Hevea brasiliensis (rubber tree)
Lineage: Eukaryota; Viridiplantae; Streptophyta; Magnoliopsida; Malpighiales; Euphorbiaceae
Source: RNAcentral
UUAGUAAUAUAAUCUCUUUAUUAAUAUGUAGAUUCUAUACAUCAGAAAUGUAAUUUAAUGUCUUGCUCAUCGGAUUGUAUAUAUAUGAAGUGAAACAAGGAACAAAAAUCAAAGUAUGCACACUUCAGGUGUGAGCAAAUAUCAAAGGAAAAAUACACAGAAAAAGACAACCGUGAAAGCAAUUUUUGCCUGUCAUUUUGUGCUCCAAAGCAUGUGCCUUUGAAUUAUAUCAUCAUCUCUAGGUCCCUCCAUGAAUCCGCAUCCAUCCAUCCACCCACCUUUCAAUGUCUCUUUGUCUUCAAAGCACUCUUUCUUUAGUCUCUCUCUUUCAUUUUUUUUCUUUCCUUUAACUUUCCUCUUCCUUAAUAAAACUCAUGCGUUAAAUCAUCAAGAAAUUAAUGGAAAAAUCUAGUUGAUAUAAUUUAAAGAAAAAUAUCAACCCACAAAAAAAAGAAAAGAAAUUAUGAUAAUAUGCAAUUUGGACUGAAUCAUGUACAGUUCCUUUCUGAUUAGAGCAAAUAUAUAUCAAUCACUUCUUCUUGUUCUUAUCUUUGCCAUUGAAGAAGAUUGAACCCAAGCCAAAUAGAUUCCCUGAUGGAACAUUCAACACAGGAUUAACGCGAACUCCAUUGCCAUAAGAUCCAUAGUUCUUCUUUAAUGGAGGUUUUAGGUAACUGGUUGAAGAUGAUGAUGAUUGAUGCUUCAUGACUGCUUGUUUGCGCUGCUUAUGAUUAUAACUACUAUAGCCAUCUCUUGACAAUGGCACCCUCUUUACGCUGCCAGGUGCAGACCCAGUAGAGUUGCUUCUUGAUAGAAGUGGUAAAGGGCAUAAGCUUCUUCCAUAGCCACUCACACAAUUCAAACUGCUACUCCUCUUGAACCGCCAAAAUGACUUCGAAAUUCGCUUUUCCUCUGUCAAUUCAUCACUUUCACCCUUCAUUUCCUUCAUCCCCUCUUUAAUAUUCAUGCUUGAAAUAUCUUCGCGUAGAGCAUGUGGUGGAGGUGAUGAAGACUGAUCCAUCUGCUUCGUAGGGGCAGUCUUUUUCUUGAUUACUGUAGGAAGGAUCUUUCCAUCUGAGAAAAGCUCAUCUGCUGGUGAUGAUUCUUGAUCGAAGCUCUUGCGAGUACAGAAGUCAAAAUCGAUGCUGCUCACAGAGUUUGAUCGAAGGGGGCGUUGCUCAACAGGAAUAAUAUCUGAAAGACACAGGUCAUGAGAAAAAGAAAUUCUUGGACUGAUACCAGCAGAAUUAUCUGAACAUAAUUCAAUUGCCAUUUCUUCAACUUCUUCAAGAAAACAAGAAAAAACAUUCAAGCCCAAUACUAAAUGGGAAGUUCUGACACAAUUCCAAGGUCAAGGAUCUAGGUUUUCUUAUCAAAGAAGAAACUAUUAAUAUUGGAUAAAACCUAACAAAGACUAUAUUUAAAUGACAUAACAACAAGCUAGAAAGUGGAAUAUCUUUUAUAAGGACGAGAGAAUAUGAAAGGGAACGCAAUAAGGAGUUUGGAGAAGGGAAUUCUGUUCUGGGUAACAAAAGAAAGACCUAUAAACUGUAUAAAUGGUACAAAUCCCAAGUUUCAAAAGAUGAUUAUCGACGAAGAUGAGGACGCGCGAAGUGAAAUGUAAAGACUGAGUUAGAACUUUGAAUCAGAGAUUUCAAGAGACUGAUGAGUGAAUGCUGAGACUGAGAUGAGAGAGCUGUUGCUUGUUUUGUUUGUUUUAGAAAGUAAGAGAUAAAAAGACAGACGUGAAGAGAGCUUCUAGCACUAAAAACCGGCCUUAGGUGGAGUUGGUUAUAGGACAAUAAUGGUCUGCUGCUAGAAACGGGUAGGCAUGUUUCCG